Molecule: ribosomal RNA, 484 nt
Filed under: uncultured bacterium
Lineage: Bacteria
Description: bacterial SSU rRNA
Rfam family: Bacterial small subunit ribosomal RNA
Source: RNAcentral
GACGAACGCUGGCGGCAUGCCUAAUACAUGCAAGUCGAACGCGACCAUCCGGUGCUUGCACUGGUGAAGUCGAGUGGCGAACGGGUGAGUAACACGUGAGAAACCUACCCUGGAGUGGGGAAUAACUCGAAGAAAUUCGAGCUAAUACCGCAUACCUUCUUACCGCCGAAUGGUGGUUUGAAGAAAGAUUUAUCGCUCUGGGAGGGUCUCGCGGCCUAUCAGCUAGUUGGUGAGGUAACGGCUCACCAAGGCAUCGACGGGUAGCUGGUCUGAGAGGACGAUCAGCCACACUGGAACUGAGACACGGUCCAGACUCCUACGGGAGGCAGCAGUAGGGAAUCUUGCGCAAUGGGCGAAAGCCUGACGCAGCAAUGCCGCGUGCGGGACGAAGGCCCUAGGGUCGUAAACCGCUUUCAGUAGGGACGAAAAUGACGGUACCUGCAGAAGAAGCUCCGGCCAACUACGUGCCAGCAGCCGCGGUAAU